This 492-nucleotide ribosomal RNA is filed under the name uncultured bacterium. Its description in RNAcentral is "partial 16S ribosomal RNA". It matches the Rfam family "Bacterial small subunit ribosomal RNA", at positions 30 to 507 of the family's 1533-position model. The record is from RNAcentral.
AUUGAACGCUGGCGGCAGGCCUAACACAUGCAAGUCGAACGGCAGCACGAUAAGAGUUUGUUCUUUCGGGUGGCGUGUGGCGGGCGGGUGAGACGUCCAUCAAACUCCACUAUGUCGGGGGGGAUUUCGUGGAAACGGUUACGAUAACAGCGCAUACUACCUACGGGAAAGAGCAGGAGAUCUUGGCACCUUGCCUGCUGGUAUGAGCCGAUGUCGGAUUAGCUAGUUGGUGGGGUAACGGCUCACCAAGGCGACGAUCCGUAGCUGGUCUGAGAGGAUGAUCAGCCACACUGGAACUGAGACACGGUCCAGACUCCUACGGGAGGCAGCAGUGGGGAAUAUUGCACAAUGGGCGCAAGCCUGAUGCAGCCAUGCCGCGUGGGUGAAGAAGGCCUUCGGGUUGUAAAGCCCUUUUAUUGGGGAAGAAAAGAAGAAGGUUAAUACCUCGCCGUAUUGACGUUACCCAAAGAAUAAGCACCGGCUAACUUCGUG